UACGUAGGGUGCAAGCGUUAAACGGAAUUACUGGGCGUAAAGCGUGCGCAGGCGGUGAUGUAAGACAGUUGUGAAAUCCCCGGGCUCAACCUGGGAACUGCAUCUGUGACUGCAUCGCUGGAGUGCGGCAGAGGGGGAUGGAAUUCCGCGUGUAGCAGUGAAAUGCGUAGAUAUGCGGAGGAACACCGAUGGCGAAGGCAAUCCCGUGGGCCUGCACUGACGCUCAUGCACGAAAGCGUGGGGAGCAAACAGG
RNAcentral lists this ribosomal RNA (253 nucleotides) under uncultured bacterium. RNAcentral describes it as "partial 16S ribosomal RNA". It matches the Rfam family "Bacterial small subunit ribosomal RNA", at positions 524 to 776 of the family's 1533-position model. The record is from RNAcentral.